Molecule: long non-coding RNA, 342 nt
Filed under: Mytilus galloprovincialis (Mediterranean mussel)
Lineage: Eukaryota; Metazoa; Mollusca; Bivalvia; Mytilida; Mytilidae
Source: RNAcentral
AUAAAACAAAUGAUAAUACAAGAGCAAAGUUGAAUUAAAUUGAACAAGUUUUGCAGUUUAGUACAUUUGCUGAUACUUGUCAUCGAAUUUGUACUUACCUGUGCAACGUGACGAAUGCCACUGGUAGACCUAGAUCUGUUGGGGUUUUUUUUUUCUGUUGGAGCACAUAAGAUCACUCUUUUGAGGGGUUUUGUUUUACUAAAUUUGGGAAAGUGAAUAAGAAGGGCCUAUUCGCAAACCUGUUUUGUAUAUAGGAACUCCAGGAACCCAUGCGCUGUUAUAUGCAAUGAAAGGUUUUUUGAAGUUGUGUUUUCUAGCGAUUUGUUUCAGUUCAAGCCAGGC